AAGGAUGUGGCAUUUCAUAAACAACCAGGAUGUUGGCUCAGAAGCAGCCACCAUUUAAAGAGUGCGUAAUAGCUCACUGGUCGAGAGACGCUGCGCCGAAAAUGUCCGGGGCUCAAGCACGGAACCGAAGCUAUGGCAUGAUAGCAAUAUCAUGGGUAGGGGAGCGUUCUUAUAAGGAAGAAGCAUGACCGGAAGGACAUGUGGACAAAUAAGAAGUGAGAAUGCCGGUAUGAGUAUCGAAAAGAAAGGUGAGAAUCCUUUCCACCGAAAGCCCGAGGGUUCCUGAGCAACGAUCGUCGACUCAGGGUAAGUCGGGACCUAAGCCGAGGCGAGAAGCGUAGGCGAUGGACAACAGGUUGAAAUUCCUGUACCGGAUCAAGUCGAUCGAGCGAAGGAGCGACGCAGGAGGGCACAUGAUCGCGCGGCUGGAAGAGCGCGUCCAAGUGCGUAUGUUGCCGCAGAGGAAAACCCCUGCAGCUAAAAGCAGAGACAUGAUGGGGAGUUAAAGGAAACUUUGACGAACUCAUGGAUCCCACACUGCCAAGAAAAACUUCUAGCGAGACAAGAUCCGCCCGUACCGUAAACCGACACAGGUAGGCGGGGAGAGAAUCCUAAGGUGCGCGGGAAAACCCUCGUUAAGGAACUCGGCAAAUUGCAUCCGUAACCUAGGGAGAAGGAUGGCCCCCGGUCAGUGAAGAGCAGAAACGCUCAGAGCUAAAAGGGGCGGCAGAAAAGAGGCCCAAGCAACUGUUUACCAAAAACACAGGUGCCUGCGAAAGCGAAAGCUGAAGUAUAGGUGCUGACGCCUGCCCGGUGCCGGAAGGUUAAGGAGAGAAGUUAGCGAACGCGAAGCAUCGAACUGAAGCCCCGGUGAACGGCGGCCGUAACUAUAACGGUCCUAAGGUAGCGAAAUUCCUUGUCGGGUAAGUUCCGACCCGCAUGAAAGGCGUAAUGAUUUGGGCACUGUCUCAACGAGGGGCCCGGUGAAAUUGAAAUACCUGUGAAGAUGCAGGUUACCCGCGACUGGACAGAAAGACCCCAUGGAGCUUCACUGCAGCUUGAGAUUGAAUCCCGGUGACAGAUGCACAGGAUAGGUGGGAGGCGCCGAAGCAUUGCCCUAGGGCGGUGCGGAGCCGAUGUUGGGAUACCACCCUUCUGUUGCUGAGAUUCUAACGCGAGGAGUAACGACCCUGCGGACCCUCUCAGGCAGGCGGUUUGACUGGGGCGGUCGCCUCCGAAAGAGUAACGGAGGCGCCCAAAGGUUCCCUCAGGCCGGACAGAAACCGGCCGAAGAGUGCAAAGGCAGAAGGGAGCUUGACUGCGAGACCAACAAGUCGAGCAGAGACGAAAGUCGGGCUUAGUGAUCCGGUGGUACUGAGUGGAAAGGCCAUCGCUCAACGGAUAAAAGCUACCCUGGGGAUAACAGGCUAAUCUCUCCCAAGAGUUCAUAUCGACGGGGAGGUUUGGCACCUCGAUGUCGGCUCAUCACAUCCUGGGGCUGGAGUAGGUCCCAAGGGUUGGGCUGUUCGCCCAUUAAAGUGGUACGCGAGCUGGGUUCAAAACGUCGUGAGACAGUUUGGUUCAUAUCCAUCGCGGGCGCAAGAAGUUUGAGAGGAGCUGCUCCUAGUACGAGAGGACCGGAGUGGACGGAUCAACGGUGUCCCAGUUGUCACGCCAGUGGCACGGCUGGAAAGCCGCAUCCGGGAAGGAUAAACGCUGAAAGCAUCUAAGCGCGAAGCCAACCUCAAGAUGAGACUUCUCAUCAGCAAUGAGUAAGACCCCUUACAGACGAUGAGGUAGAUAGGUUAUGAGUGGAAGAGCCGCAAGGCUUGGAGCGACAUAAAACUAAUAGGUCGAGGUCUUAACUUA
This 1869-nucleotide ribosomal RNA is filed under the name human gut metagenome. RNAcentral describes it as "bacterial LSU rRNA". It matches the Rfam family "Bacterial large subunit ribosomal RNA", at positions 1069 to 2925 of the family's 2925-position model. The record is from RNAcentral.